GGGCUGUCAAGCCUCCCUUGCAGUCAUACAAGGAAAGACGAUGACUUUUGGAGUUCAGGGUUUGCAUUCUCUGUGUUUCUUCCUGUUCCCUGCCAUCCAGGGAGAAGAGUAAGAGAAAGUGUUGGAGGGUUUGGCAGGGCAGUGCAACUUGCUGCACUCCUGUGCCUGCUGUGCUCCUUUGCUUCCUGUGCCAGCUGCGAACACUCAGUGAAGAAUGCCGAAUCGCCAAGGGAAAAAUGAAAGCCCAUUAGCGUGGUGAGCCGGGGGAUUCACUGCUGAGAGCCUGCAGAGCACUUAUCUGAUGGAGCGAGACCAUUAAGUGCCGGGAGGUGCAGCACCCCCCGGGUGCGGACAGCGCGGGGGUGCCCGCUGGGCUGACGUGCUGGCACAGCCCCGUCCUGGGACAGGGACAGGGGCAGGGACAGGAGCCUGGGCGGCGGCAGGGCGCCGUCUCCCCUCCAAAUCCCGGCUCUGCAGUGAGCGGCGGCUCCGCCGACCCGGCCGGCCCCGGGGGGUCCCGGCAGAGCUGGGGCCGGGGGCGCUGCCCGCCGGUUCCCGGCGCUGUGUCCCCUCCUCCAUCACCCCCUGUCGCUGCCCCUCGGCCCGCAGGGUCAGGCCGGGCCGCGCUGCCCGUCCGAGUCCCGUGACGGGAGCGGGCGGCCGGCAGCGGGCAAGGGAGCCGGCGGUGCCCGGGACCCCCGGUGCGGGCUGCCCCCGGCGGGCUCCCAUUGGCCGCGGGGCGGGACGUGCCGCCCGCUCCGGCCCUAUAUCAGGGCAAUAUUGCCCCGGCGGGGCGCGGGGCAGGUGUCGGAGCGGCGCUGCCCGCGCAGGCAUGGACCUGGGGUACAUCUCCAUCGGGCUGUGCCGCGGGGUCCCGGUGCCCCCCUGCCCGCGACGGGGACCCGGAUCCUUCCCCCCGCCGGACAUCGCGGCCCCCCCCCCGCCGCCUGCCUGCGCGGGGUGCGCGGCGGUCCCGUGCCCCGGCUACGAGCGGCCCCGCGGAGCUGGGACACCGGGAGAGCGCUGCAGGGACCCACCGCGCCCCGACGACUCCGGGACCCGCCGCCCGACCCCUCCGGAGUUCGGCCGCCCCCGGCCCCGUCCCGGCUCCCCGACCCCCGGGGCGGCCCCGGCGGCGCCCCGCACCUUCGAGUGGAUGCGAGUGAAGCGGAGCCCGUCCGGGAGAAAAGCGCAAAAUUCACCAGGGAUCCCCGCUUCCCCGGAUUUCACCUCUCCCAGAGGUAAAGCAGAGGUAUCCGAGAGGACAGAGCAGCCGACCCCAAACAUUUCUCCAGCACCUGGACGGUGGCUGGGCAAGCAUCGUGGCGGCGCAGAGGGACCUCUGGAGCCUCUGGAUCCACGGGACAAAACAAUUUUAGACGACUCUCCCUCUGCUUUGGACUUCAUCUGGCUGUGGGACUUCGGGGUGAAGAACAAGUCGUGGGGAGAGGGAUCCUGGGGGUCCAGAGCGCGGGGUCCCCAGCUGGGAGCCAGCCCCAGCCUCCCACAGCUGCGGGGCCUCGUGUUGUGCUUACACACCGUGUCCCCACUGUACUUGGAAAGUACAAUAAAGCUGGCAGCUGUGCAUGCAUGCAGGGACUUUUUGGUUUUGUACACAGGGUCACGGAUCCUUCCAAGUAGUUGAUGCACUUCACAGGUUACCAAGGAAAAAUUCCCAAGGCAGAGCUGCUUGUAUGAAACCCGCAGCAACCGAAAGAAAUGGGAUGCAGUUCCUUAUUGCAGCAGUGACACCAAACGACCUUUUAUACGGCAGGAUGAUCAUUCAUUUAAAAAAAAAAUAGGAACUAAUAUUUCUGCCAGCUUUUUUUUUUUUUUUGAUAAGAUACUACUUGAAGCAAAACAGAGUAAGAUGUAGUAAAAUUCAUGGAAAUUCAUGUCAAUAACUUUUUUUUUUUUUUUUCAAUCUGAUCAUUAAAAGCAAGUCAACUCCAAGCCAACUAUUUUCAGCUGCUUUUAAGGAACAUUUUACACCAAGUCUACUGCUAGUAGUCUGUUUCUAAACAAAAAAUGCUCCUAUAUAUGCAGCCAGAAUAAGCUUAUAUGCUUAUAAGCUGUCUUCUCAGAGCGCAUGGUUCACAUGCAAACUUCAGAAGACAGCUGUGUUUUCAGUUGCCUCCAAAUUCGUCACAUGUCCAUGGGGCUGCUGGUUUGUCAGCCUUUUAUUUUCUUAAUGGUUUUGACAUUUGUGCUAGUCAACUUCAGGCCAGAGGAAAGUUUUCCACACUGGUGGCAUGCUCCUGCACUACCAAACUGGAAAGAAAGAUUCUCAUUGAUUUCAGUGGUUCUUGACCAGGCCGUUAGACCACACUAAGUCUUUUACAAAGAAUGUUUUCAGGCCAUAUAUUUUCCCGACUAAAGAAAUACACGUGCCAGCAUCGUAGCAGUGCACAGUUCUGUAUCAGUCAAAAUGACACAGCCUGAAUAUCUAGAGAUUUACUUGCAAAUUAAGAUGAAACCUUACAACUCUUUUAUGGCUGUCUGAAUAAAUUUGCUGGUAUGAACACAAACAUAUUCUGUUUAAAAAACUGGUACUUAGUAUUAAGUGUAAUUUCUGCUCACACAACAGGGACAGUUUAAUGGCAUCUCUCUUCCUCACAACCAGUUUUUACUGUGUAAGAUAUUACUCCUUUGCACUGUUCUGUCAGCAAGAUACCCAGAGGAAGGAGAUAAUGCAAGUCAUGUGCCAAUUCCUGAAUAAUUAAAUAAAAAUGCCUCCGAUAUACAUGGGUGCACACAUGAGACAAAUAAAUGAUAGAUAAGGUCUAAGAUUCACUCAUUUAAUAUCCCAAGAGUUGUCUCUCACACAUGUUCAGUUUGAUGCCUAACAGUUGGAAGCAGGUUUUAGGUUAUGCAUAUAGAGGUAAGAGCAUGGGCUGUAAUUCUCACCAGAGUCAGAACAAAAUCCUCCAGACUUGCCUCAGUAAAUACCCAGCACCAUAUAAUUUAUCACAAACUAUGAAAAUAUUAUUUUCUGGACUUAUUUUCCUCCAAACAUCAUUAGAAACCACAAAAAGACCAUUCUAUUUCAGUCUUAUAUUAAUUUUUGCCUACUGACUAUUGCUCAAAGAGCCACAGGCUACCAAGGGGAUAUGAACAAUAUAAUUUUGUUUAUGUGUUCCCAUUUUGCUUGAAACAGAAUAAAAAGGAAGAACAAAAAUAUAUGGAAGGCUUCCAAGGAGAAAGAAAAUAAAAAAGUUGUUAAGUUACUGUUCAUAGGCAGUAUAUGUGAGCGUAUAGAUUUGAUAUCCUUUGGCCGGGUAAGUGAUAACAGAACAUCACACAUCUUUGAAAGCUGAGCUCAGGCAAGAAGCCAGGCUGGCUUUGGUAUCUGGCUGCCCAAGAAGAACAGAAAAAGUAUGUGGUCAUGUGCCAACACAGCACAGGGAACGCUUUGCUGAGGGUCAGACCAACUACUCUGGUUUAUGGUAUCAGCUGCAUAUACAAGUUUAUUUUGAGCAUCAAAGAACACAACAGUAAGCCAGAAAACAAAAAAAUAUGCAACCCAAUCACCACAUUUUAAUCUUCUUUUAAAAGUGUGCCAUUUCCUCUGUUGGUAAAACCUGGAACAGUGGCUUACACAUAAAACAGUACAGAUUAUUAACAGAGUAAAAUAGACUAUUACCUCUUUUAAGAAAAAUAUUUGCAGGCAAAGUUACAAAAUGGAAAGACCUCCUUGUAGUUUCAGCUAUUUGUCUUUAACAGCUAAUAAAUCAUACUUAUGAUAUGUCCUGUACUGCUCCGUUAGCCUAAAUUCCAGUAAAUCCUGAGAACGGUUGCA
RNAcentral lists this long non-coding RNA (3799 nucleotides) under Anas zonorhyncha (Eastern spot-billed duck). RNAcentral describes it as "lncRNA (ENSAZOG00000015789.1)". Lineage: Eukaryota; Metazoa; Chordata; Aves; Anseriformes; Anatidae. The record is from RNAcentral.